UUUUUUUUUUUUUGCUAAAUAAUUUCCAGGAACUUCUAUCGACGUUCUGAUUUUCGUUACGUCUCAGCCUUCCAAUAAUCCGCUCUUAACUCUAAGUUUUUGCGUGAUUGAUCCACUCCUCUCACUGGAAGCAUUCAAUCGACCUCUUCCCAUCCUACAGUAACCGGCUGAAUCUUCAAGUAUAAAUAUCGGACCUUCCAAUGAUGAACAGAGCAACUCAAACAAGAUCCACAAACAUAUUUUAUUCUCGCGACCAUGGCGAUCAGCUUUCAGCCGGACGGGUUCAUCGCAGCCGGUGGUCACGCUUCUCCUUCGUUUCACGGAGGCACCUAAUCUAUACUAGAAAGAAGGGAGCAAAUGGGUUAACAUCCUCCUCAAUGAUGAAAAGAAAAAAGUGAUGAAGUCAGAGCGUGCUGGCAAAUUGAUGACAGAGGCGCUACUUCUGCAGUUUUUGGCUCUUGGUAGACAGUGACUUUAGGCUGCUCAAGCUCAGGAAAGGUCAAUGACAAAGUUGAGAUUCACAUAUUUGGUUGAGAAUCACAGUGAAGAGCUCACAGCUAUAUAGACAUGGGACAAUGGGAAGACUUAUGAAUAAGCCAAAACAGCAGAGAUUCCAGUGCUUGCCAAAUUGUUUCGCUACUAUGCUGGAUGCGGAUAAGAUUGAUGGACUAAUUAACAGUUCCAGUUGAUGGAAACUAUCAUGGCCAGACACUGCAUGAACUGAAAGGUGUUGCUGGACAGAUCAUUCUCCUCACCAUUGUCCUCAAAACCGAUGAACAAACUCCCCUCACUGCUUUUUACGGAAAGCUUUUCCUUGAAGCAGGUCUCCUCUUGGUGUUCUGAACAUAGUUUCUGGAUUUGGUCUAAUCGCAAGGACUUUCCUCACGAGCCACGUGGAUUGGGCUGUUACCAAAUUUUCUAAGUUAAUAUUAUUGAUACUCGACUCAUUACUGAAGUUGAGAGAGCUUUACGCUCAAUUACGUCGACAAGUAAUUGAGGAGAUAUGAAAGUUCCUAGAAUCUACAGAAAAUGGAGACCCACCUCACACGUGGUUUUAGAAACCAGCUGGUCAUGAUGCUUCAGGUAAAUUUUGUUUACUCCUCUGUAUCCUCUGUAUCUCUAUAACGAUCCAGACUCAUCUAGCAGAAGCCAAGAUCUCAGUCUUAGAGUUCAUGGUUCACCAAGAGUUUUCAUGCAUCUGGAUUUCCACGUUUUGGGUCUCCCACCAGCCAGUUUUGAUCGAUACUCCUGCAGUGUCCAAGUUUGGAAGAUUGGAAAGCACAUAAAAUCCAAAAAAAUAGAGGUAAAGGAAAGCUGGUGCUUUUUGCAAGUCAUGGUGGAACUCCAUCCAUGACGUUCACCCACAUGGCUGAUCCUUCUACUCACUGACAACAUCAACAAAAAAUCAUUGUGUCACACGCUCUUGGUUCGUUUUGUUCGUUAUACCUUUAGUUAAUAUGAUUGUUUACAGGGACCUCAGACGGUGGAUCAAGAGCUUCAGAAGAUACAAUAGGAUAUACAUGAGUACAAGAAACAGGUGGUUAUAGCGUAAGAAGCAAAACGUCAGGUUGUGGUAUGUAACGGUUAAAACAGAGGAGUGUCAUUGCAGAGCUAAAACAAGCGAAACAAGACUCUCAUCUUGCGAAGCUGAGAGUGGAGGAAAUGAAAAAAAGGAUGAUAUCAUUUGAAAAUGGAAUAUUUAUUUAGGCUAAUGCAAUCAGAGAGAAUAAAUGACUUUGAAGGAUUAUGACACAUAAAUAACUUUGAAGGGUGCUUUCCAAUUUAUGUUAAUUAAAUUUUUGUAAAGUAUUUAUAGAUCUUUAUAAGAUGUUAUGGACUCU
This is a long non-coding RNA of Raphanus sativus (radish), 1841 nucleotides long. RefSeq lists it as uncharacterized. The record is from RefSeq and is a predicted model, not a curated record. The transcript has 6 exons. Lineage: Eukaryota; Viridiplantae; Streptophyta; Magnoliopsida; Brassicales; Brassicaceae.